Arvicola amphibius (Eurasian water vole) is the source of this 715-nucleotide long non-coding RNA. RefSeq lists it as uncharacterized. The record is from RefSeq and is a predicted model, not a curated record. Lineage: Eukaryota; Metazoa; Chordata; Mammalia; Rodentia; Cricetidae. The transcript has 2 exons.
UUGGAGCUGCAGCAAGGGCCUGCGAGGCAGAUGUGUGGUAAAGACCACUGUCCCCCCAGCCAAGCGAGCGUGCGGCACAUUUUUCCAGUGGAAAUACCAUGCUGGAGACAGAACAUGACUUAGCAGCGGGUGGGCAACUCAUUCCUAACAGCUCAGUUCUUCACAGUCAGGGACCCCGUGGAAACCAGCUUCGGCCGCAGCUGUGGGAGGAAGCGGCUUCCCGGUGGCUGCUGGGAGAAGACAGUGGGGGAGGCGACGGCGGCCUCUUGGGAAGCCACUGUUUGUGAUCCUCACAGUGUAAACAGCGGAAAACAAAACUCCCGGGUCCGUGUGCACAGACGUGCUGUAUACGGAUUUCUCCUCUGCAUGGGCUAGCUCGUUCCUCUUUCAGGCGUCCCUCCAUGCUUAAAGGUGGCCUUGUCUGUAUAUGUAAUGACGGGAAAGCAGGUAAUGUUUGUCAAUUCCCUUUCGGCCUGGCCUGACUCUUCACACCUGCCACAAAAUACAGCCUCUGUAUCUCCUCAGCCGGACAGGCCUCAAACAUCAGGGACCCAGGAAAAAGAGCUUGGCUUCACGUCACACAUCAUACGCCAAUCUAUGUAAAGAUCAUAAUACCCCCAGGAACAGGGUUACCCUGUGUCCAUGUCAGAUUCCUGAGCCAAGGUUUCUGCAGAAGAAUUCAUUAAAGUCAUGUUGGCAUGUCUGUGGUUUCGAA